Molecule: long non-coding RNA, 404 nt
Organism: Canis lupus familiaris (dog)
Lineage: Eukaryota; Metazoa; Chordata; Mammalia; Carnivora; Canidae
Exons: 4
Source: RefSeq, a predicted model, not a curated record
AGGAAUUACCCAGAGGCAGCAUCAUGUGGCUCGAUGACCAGAGCAGGCGCUUCUUUCCCACUUCCCUAGAAGCCCCAGGGCCAGAGGCAUUGGCUGAGCCCCUGCUCCUUUCCCCUCAGCCUCUGCUGGGUGUGGAUAGGAACCUGGGGGACCUGCUCUUGCUGUGUGUGGAGGACGGGAUCCCAGAGAAGCUCCCUGCUAGAGUCACUGCACCCGUCACCCUUGCGCCCGACUUCUCUUCUGAAGAAUGAAGGCUAUUGAAGUCAAGAGAGGAAGUGACUUGCUGAAGUCUGAAGAGGUGGCCAGUAGCAUGGCCAAGACCAAAUAUGGUUCUUUUCACUCCCAGGUCAUGCAAACUUCACUUCUUUUUAUUCAGUGGUUCCCAUCCCUACCCCCACCACAAG